Molecule: long non-coding RNA, 234 nt
Filed under: Pan troglodytes (chimpanzee)
Lineage: Eukaryota; Metazoa; Chordata; Mammalia; Primates; Hominidae
Description: long non-coding RNA NONPTRT001025
Source: RNAcentral
CUCCAAAAAGAAAAGUGUAUUCACCGUGAUGAAUGUGAAGUAGCUGUUUAAAUAGCAGAGGGACUUGAACUCCUUCCUGUGGACGAUUCGGCGUGAUCCUCCGGCCUACCUGUUUGGCACUAUUCACGUUCCCUACACCCGCGUCUGGGACUUCAUCCCGGACAACUCCAAGGCAGCCUUCCAGGCUAGCGCCCAUGUCUACUUUGAGCUGGACCUGACAGACCCCUACACCAU